AACGAACGCUGGCGGCAUGCCUAACACAUGCAAGUCGAACGAGACCUUCGGGUCUAGUGGCGCACGGGUGCGCAACGCGUGGGAACCUGCCCUUAGGUUCGGAAUAACUCCCCGAAAGGGGUGCUAAUACCGGAUAAUGUCUUCGGACCAAAGAUUUAUCGCCUUUGGAUGGGCCCGCGUUGGAUUAGCUAGUUGGUAGGGUAAAAGCCUACCAAGGCGACGAUCCAUAGCUGGUCUGAGAGGAUGAUCAGCCACACUGGGACUGAGACACGGCCCAGACUGGAGUGGGGUGCGGGUGUGGAGAGUGUAGGAGAAGGGGCUAAGGCCGGUGCCGGGAGCUGGAGGGGGGGGGGGAGGGCCGUAGUGUAGUAAACUGCUUUGACGAGGAAAGAGAAUGACAGGACAGGGAGAAUCAGCGCCGGCGAACCCAGGGGCAGAAGACGGGGCGAGGACGAAAGACAGCCGACCGAAC
Molecule: ribosomal RNA, 472 nt
Filed under: uncultured bacterium
Lineage: Bacteria
Description: partial 16S ribosomal RNA
Rfam family: Bacterial small subunit ribosomal RNA (bases 20-300)
Source: RNAcentral